RNAcentral lists this long non-coding RNA (690 nucleotides) under Homo sapiens (human). RNAcentral's name for it is "HSALNT0182644". The record is from RNAcentral. Lineage: Eukaryota; Metazoa; Chordata; Mammalia; Primates; Hominidae.
GUGUUGUGCAAAUGUCAAGAUUUAAUAUUAGAGGCAGAAAACAGAUGUUGUGUUUUUAUUCUAUAAUUAAUGGGAUGUGCUAUGCCAUAAGUAUACCUUGCAAUUUGUUGCCUUUGCUAUUCUAAUACCUUUCUUCAAUGUCUGUCCUUGGAAGAGUUCCAGAGUAAGACAAAAACUAUAGAGAGAAUACAAUAGAGAGAAUAUGAAACCAGGCCAGGAUUAAGUAAGAGACUUGGUUCCAGAAGACACUAAAACAGUAUCUGCAAAGAUACAACCUAGUGUCUUGAGUGUUCCUAGGAUGCAUAGGAUUGGAGAGGAGCUAUCAAGGUAAGACCUCUGUACAAUCCUCAGGCAAUGAAACAAUAUCUAGUUCUCUACCUUAAAACGCUACUAGCUAGGGUGAUCUUUCUGGACCCUAAAUGACAAAGUCUGUAGUCAUAUACCAUCAACCUAAAGGAGAGACAGUGAUCUGCCUAUGUACUGGCAAAUAAUCUUCAGAAGAAAAUAGUGAUUAGAACUGAAAUUAUUAUAUUUAGCAGAUAUUUAUAUCCCUUCCAGUCCCCAUUCUUAUUUUAUACCUUAAUGCAGGCCUAUAGUUUGGUAAUUUUAAUACAACUACUUGCUGGGGCUAACCAGGGCCUGUCAACAGCUCCUCUCAGUGUUCUAGAAUAGAAAUUGGCUAAUAAAAAC